CACGGGUGAGUAGCACGUAUCCAACCUGCCGUCUACUCUUGGACAGCCUUCUGAAAGGAAGAUUAAUACAAGAUGGCAUCAUGAGUCCGCAUGUUCACAUGAUUAAAGGUAUUCCGGUAGACGAUGGGGAUGCGUUCCAUUAGAUAGUAGGCGGGGUAACGGCCCACCUAGUCUUCGAUGGAUAGGGGUUCUGAGAGGAAGGUCCCCCACAUUGGAACUGAGACACGGUCCAA
RNAcentral lists this ribosomal RNA (233 nucleotides) under uncultured bacterium. RNAcentral's name for it is "partial 16S ribosomal RNA". It matches the Rfam family "Bacterial small subunit ribosomal RNA", at positions 102 to 334 of the family's 1533-position model. The record is from RNAcentral.